This 480-nucleotide ribosomal RNA is filed under the name uncultured bacterium. RNAcentral's name for it is "bacterial SSU rRNA". It matches the Rfam family "Bacterial small subunit ribosomal RNA", at positions 502 to 985 of the family's 1533-position model. The record is from RNAcentral.
UACGUGCCAGCAGCCGCGGUAAUACGGAAGGUCCAGGCGUUAUCCGGAUUUAUUGGGUUUAAAGGGAGCGUAGGCUGGAGAUUAAGUGUGUUGUGAAAUGUAGACGCUCAACGUCUGAAUUGCAGCGCAUACUGGUUUCCUUGAGUACGCACAACGUUGGCGGAAUUCGUCGUGUAGCGGUGAAAUGCUUAGAUAUGACGAAGAACUCCGAUUGCGAAGGCAGCUGACGGGAGCGCAACUGACGCUUAAGCUCGAAGGUGCGGGUAUCAAACAGGAUUAGAUACCCUGGUAGUCCGCACAGUAAACGAUGGAUGCCCGCUGUUGGUACCUGGUAUCAGCGGCUAAGCGAAAGCAUUAAGCAUCCCACCUGGGGAGUACGCCGGCAACGGUGAAACUCAAAGGAAUUGACGGGGGCCCGCACAAGCGGAGGAACAUGUGGUUUAAUUCGAUGAUACGCGAGGAACCUUACCCGGGCUUGAA